UAUAUAAACCCAUGAAACCAUUGGUAUUAGAUGAUAGAAAAUUAGAGUUAAUUUUUACUCUUGAGAAAUAGGGUUUCCCCACUUUGUUUUGUUGAAAAGACAAUAAAAUAUGUUAAAGGUUCUCUACUCCCACGCUGGACAGAAGGCAUAUGGACAGAAGGAAUAAGAUCAUUCUUUCACAGCUAAGUUAGCAUGUGUGUUGCACUAUUAACGUGGACAGCAAGGCCACUGCAUGUGGUUACUGACAGCUUCAACAAAAACAGCAUGGGUGCCUCUUUCUUUCCUUUGUUUAUUACAUGCGUCUGUAAUUAUCUUGUAUAUAUGUUCUGCUGCCAUUACAGCAGUUGUAGGAAUUCAAAAUAUAUUUUUCACAUGGUAUCAAGAGCUAGGCCAAAACCCUAGUCCUAUUUUCUUCUGUUAUUUCUCUUUGACUGCUGUUCAUCACAAGCAGCGCGUUUUUUUUUUCCUUUCCAUUGAUAUUAACAAUGGCCGAUGAUCGAACUUCGAGCGAAAGCAAGCCUGAUGCUUCCAAUCCAUUGUUCAUUCAUCAUUCAGACCACCCAGCUAUGGUGCUGGUCUCGAAACCCCUUAAUGGGGACAACUAUUCCACCUGGUCCCGAGCCAUGAAGAUUUCCUUGAGUGCUAAAAACAAGAUUGUUUUUGUUGAUGGCACUGUUCCACAACCGUCAGCAAAAACCCAGCCGAACGAUCAUGCUGCAUGGAAGAGAUGCAACGACAUGAUUGUUGCCUGGAUCAUCAACUCAAUCGAUUCAGAUAUUUCAGACAGCAUUCUCUACAUGACUAGCGCUCAUGAGAUUUGGGACGAAUUGGAAGAGCGCUACUCCCAAAGCAAUGCUCCUCGGAUUUUUCAAUUGCAGCGGGAUAUUUCGUGUCUUUCUCAAGAUCAACUCUCUAUUGCAGCCUAUUAUACCAAGUUGAAGAGUCUGUGGGACGAGUUGUCUUCUUACAGUGAUUCAUCUUCAUGCACAUGCGGUGCUCAAAAUGAAAGGAACAGGUUGAUGCAGUUUCUUAUGGGACUCAAUGAUUCAUAUAGUGCUAUUCGAGGACAAAUCCUCUUGAUGAAUCCCUUGCCUACUGUACGUCAAGCUUACUCCUCAAUAUCACAAGAGGAGAAACAACGCUCUUUGAGCCUUUCUCGCACCACCACUGCAACAGCAGCCAUGGCAGUUCGCCAGGGCCACCACUCCAAGUCCGCAGGUUCCUCCACUCGAAAACCCAUGCAUUGUACGCAUUGCGAUCAAGAUUACCACACUAUUGAUACUUGCUACCAGUUGCAUGGGUACCCACCUGGGCAUCGUCUUCAUAAGACCAACAAAUCCAAUCCACGUGGUGGGAAUCGCUCCAAGCGAGACACUGGCUCUUCGUCAGCCAACAUAGUUUCCUCAGAAGGACCUUCUAUACAAGAAAUGCAGUCCGUGAUGUCAGGUUUAUCAGAUUCUCAGUUUCAGCAAAUUCUCAGUAUCAUGAAUGGGAAGGAUGUAUCCGCUACCCCUCAAGCCUCAAGCCAAUGCUACCACCCUUACCAAAGGUUUGUCAAAAAAUCAUUCGCAUCUCCAUCGAUGGAUCAUCGAUAGUGGUGCGACAGACCACAUCACCUCUUCACCGAAACUGCUUACUAAUGGUGUGAAAAAUGAUAAUAUGUUGCCAGUUUUAUUGCCAAGUGGAGAACAAGCACCUAUUGCAUUAACCGGAGAUUUAUCUUUGAAUUCUACCUUCUUCUUACUCCGAGAUGUGUUUGUGUGUGCCUACUUUUAAUGUAGAUUUGAUGUCAGUGAGUCGAAUUACUGGAGGAUUAAAUUGUUGUUCCGUCACUUUUUUUUCCACUUGGUGUAUUUUGCAGGAUCUGACCACGAAGAGAACGAUUGGUUUGGGUAAGCAGCGAGGAGGACUUUACUAUUUGGUGGCGUUGGCUCCUGUCCAAGAUGGCACUUCGAGACGUUUCUGUAACAUGGUCCUAUCACCUACAGAGUUGUGGCAUCGUCGUUUAGGUCAUUUGUCAUCAUCUAGAUUAGAUUUCAUGUCCAAAACUAUGUUACACUUUCCUUUCCAGUCAAAUAAUGCUUGUGAUGUUUGUCCAUUAGCCAAGCAAAGUCGUUUACCUUUUGGUGUUAGUACCAUUGCAACCCAGAAACCCUUUGCUUUAAUUCACUGUGAUAUUUGGGGUCCUUAUAAAAUUGCCUCCACUUGUGGCGCCAAAUAUUUUUUAACCAUAGUCGAUGAUUAUUCUCGUUUCACAUGGAUCUUUCUUAUGCAACACAAAAAUGAGACUCAACAUCUCCUUAAGAAUUUUUUCUCUUAUGUUCGUACUCAAUUUGAUACACUUGUUUGUCAAAUCCGUGUUGACAAUGGAGGUGAAUUUUUUUCCCUUCGUGAUUUUUUCCAAGAACACGGUGUCGUAUACCAACACUCUUGUGUUUAUACGCCCCAACAAAAUGGGGUUGUAGAACGCAAGCAUCGUCACAUUCUUGAGACAGCACGUAGUUUGCGUUUCCAAGCCCACCUACCACUUCGUUUUUGGGGUGAAUGUGUGCUCACGGCCGUCCACCUUAUUAAUCGUCUUCCUACCAAAAUUCUUUCCAACACUACACCUUUUGCACGUCUCUAUUCCAAAUCACCCACCUAUUCCCACCUACGAGUCUUUGGAUGUCUUGCCUAUGCCACCAACACUCACGUUUCUCAUAAGUUUGCUCCCCGUGCCCAUAAGUGUGUUUUUUCUAGGAUAUCCUGUUGGUCAAAAAGCCUAUAAGCUUUACGACCUCACCACCCAUAAGUUUAUUACCAGUCGUGAUGUCAUUUUUCCACGAACAUAUUUUCCCUUACCAAAAUCACUCCACCUCCGAUGACCAACUUCCCCUUCCCGGACCUGUCUUACCUCAACCCCUUCCUGACUACACUGUUCUCUCUACAACUCCUUCCGCGUCCACCAUUUCUCCCGUGUUACCUGUUGAGUCUUCUACUCGUCCACCUACAGAGUCCGAUGCUCCAACUCUCUCAGUCCCUGCUACUGCCAUAACAGCGCUCCCAGCGCCCGUACCCCCCGCACCUUCUGUGCCUGUGCUUCGUCGCUCUGACCGACGCUCUACUCCUCCAACUCGCUUCAGUGAUUAUGUUUGCCCUACUUUGCCUUCUUCCCAACCAAUCGAUUCUUACUCUUCGUCGCCAGGUCCUACCACCGGUACCAGGUAUCCUCUCGCUAAUUUCCUCACUUAUCAUCGUUUCUCACCCCAACAACAAUCUUUCCUUGCUUCUAUUAGUCAGCAGGUUGAACCCCACACUUAUGCUCAGGCUGCCCUUCAUCCCCAUUGGCAAGCUGCCAUGGACUCUGAAUUGCAUGCUUUGGAGGACACUAAUACUUGGACAGUCACUACUCUCCCUGCCGGGAAAACUCCCAUUGGUUGUCGUUGGGUGUAUAAGAUCAAACAUCGUUCUGAUGGUUCUAUUGAACGUUAUAAAGCUCGCCUCGUCGCCAAGGGUUACACUCAACUUGAAGGUGUUGAUUAUCACGAUACCUUCUCACCUACUGCUAAGAUGGUCACUGUUCGUUGUUUAUUAGCCCUAGCUGCUGCCCGUACUUGGUCUCUUCACCAACUUGAUGUCCACAACGCUUUUCUUCAUGGUGAUCUCCAUGAAGAACUCUAUAUGACCCUACCUCCUGGUCUUCGGCGACAGGGGGAGAAUCUCGUGUGUCGCCUUAAUAAAUCCCUUUAUGGCUUGAAGCAAGCUUCCCGGCAAUGGUUUGCAAAGUUUUCAGAAGCAAUUAAAUCCGCUGGUUAUAUUCAAUCAAAGGCAGAUUAUUCUUUAUUUACGAGGCAGCAAGGGCAAUCCUUUAUAGCCCUUCUGAUCUAUGUUGACGAUAUCUUAAUCACCGGCAAUGAUCCUGAAGGAAUUAAUGCUCUUAAAAGGUUUCUUCAUGGUCACUUCAAAAUCAAGGAUCUUGGUAACUUAAAGUACUUUCUAGGAAUAGAGGUUUCACAGUCAAAGAAAGGGAUUUUUAUUUCUCAGCGAAAAUACGCUUUAGAAAUUUUGAAAGAUAGUGGUCUUUUGGGAGCUCGCCCAGUGGAGUUUCCUAUGGAGCAGAAUACUAAACUCUCUAACACUGGUGAGUUGCUUAAAGAUCCGGCAAAGUAUAGAAGGUUGGUUGGUCGAUUGAUCUAUUUAACCAUUACAAGGCCGGACAUCACUUAUCCCGUGCAUGUGUUAAGUCGAUUCAUGCAUGAACCACGACAACCGCACAUGGAAGCAGCCCUCCGAAUUCUGAAAUACUUGAAGAGUACGCCUGGACAAGGUUUGUUUUUCUCUUCUCAAAACAACUUGAACUUAAGCGCAUAUUGCGAUUCAGAUUGGGCGGGAUGUCCUACAACACGAAGGUCAACUACAGGUUAUUGCGUUUUUUUGGGCUCUUCUUUGAUCUCUUGGAGGUCAAAGAGACAAAAGACCAUUUCUUUAUCAUCCGCAGAGGCCGAAUACAGAGCCAUGACUGGAACUUGUUGUGAACUGUCAUGGCUUCGAUAUCUUCUAAGGGAUUUAGGUUUGCUUCAUCCAAAACCGGUCUUGCUGCAUUGCGACAACAAAGCAGCGCUCCAUAUUGCUGCUAACCCAGUCUUUCAUGAACGAACUAGACAUAUAGAGAUUGAUUGUCAUUUUAUUCGAGACAAGAUACAAGAUGGUUCAGUCAUCACAAGGUACAUUCCUUCUUCAAACCAGCUUGCAGAUGUGUUCACAAAGGCAUUAGGAAAGGAGGCUUUCUCAUCCAUCAUAUGCAAGUUGGGAGUACUCGAUGUACACUCUCCAACUUGAGGGGGAGUGUUGAAAAGACAAUAAAAUAUGUUAAAGGUUCUCUACUCCCACGCUGGACAGAAGGCAUAUGGACAGAAGGAAUAAGAUCAUUCUUUCACAGCUAAGUUAGCAUGUGUGUUGCACUAUUAACGUGGACAGCAAGGCCACUGCAUGUGGUUACUGACAGCUUCAACAAAAACAGCAUGGGUGCCUCUUUCUUUCCUUUGUUUAUUACAUGCGUCUGUAAUUAUCUUGUAUAUAUGUUCUGCUGCCAUUACAGCAGUUGUAGGAAUUCAAAAUAUAUUUUUCACA
This 5109-nucleotide long non-coding RNA is filed under the name Malus domestica (apple). RNAcentral's name for it is "long non-coding RNA (MDOM_LNC011720)". Lineage: Eukaryota; Viridiplantae; Streptophyta; Magnoliopsida; Rosales; Rosaceae. The record is from RNAcentral.